Molecule: long non-coding RNA, 1190 nt
Filed under: Nicotiana benthamiana
Lineage: Eukaryota; Viridiplantae; Streptophyta; Magnoliopsida; Solanales; Solanaceae
Description: long non-coding RNA (NBEN_LNC008810)
Source: RNAcentral
GAAGCAUUGGAAACUUUUUCAACUUGAUGUUAACAAUGCAUUCUUGCAUGGUGAUUUGGAUGAGGAGGUUUAUAUGAAGCUUCCCCGGGUUUAUCUGUUUCUGUAUCUUCUUCUGACUCUGUUUCUUCUCCAUCUCCUCCUCUUGUAUGUAAAUUGAAAAAAUCCCUAUAUGGGUUGAGGCAGGCAUCCAGACAGUGGUAUGCCAAGUUGUCCUCUGCCCUUUAUUACAGAGGCUAUAAUCAUUCCAUGAAUGAUUAUUCUCUGUUUAUUAAAGGCCAGCCUGGCUAUUUGGUUAUUGUAUCAGUCUAUGUGGAUGACAUUAUCAUCACUGGGGAUGACAAUGAUGAGCUAUCUACCCUGAAGUUGUUUUUGGAUGAUCAGUUCAGGAUCAAAGACCUUGGGUCUUUGCAUUAUUUUUUGGGCAUUGAGAUGUNNNNNNNNNNNNNNNNNNNNNNNNNNGACAUCUGCUUUGCUGUUCAGCAUCUGAGUCAAUACUUGAAGUGUCCCAGAGUCCCACAUAUGACUGUUGCUUUACAUGUUCUCAGAUAUCUAAAAGGGUCUAUGCAUCUGGGUUUGUUCUAUUCUGACUGUUCUGAUUUGUCUGUCCAUGCUUAUUCUGACAGUGAUUGGGCUGCCUGUCCAGACACUCGCAGGUUUGUGACUGGGUUUUGUAUUCUUUUGGGUGGCUGCUUGAUUAGUUGGAAAUCUAAGAAACAGCCUGUUGUAUCUUUAUCUUCUGCUGAAGCUGAGUAUAGGGCUCUCAGUAAGGUAGUUGCUGAACUGUCUUGGCUUUCCCGCUUGCUAACUGACCUUGGUAUUUCUGUCUCUCUCCCUUUUUCUGUUUUCUGUGACAAUCAGGCUGCUAUACAUAUUGCCAAAGCUAAACUGACUUGGCUUUCCCGCUUGCUAACUGACCUUGGUAUUUCUGUCUCUCUCCCUUUUUUGUUUUCUGUGACAGUCAAGCUGCUAUACAUAUUGCCAAAAAUCCUGUCUUUCAUGAAAGGACCAAACAUAUCAAAGUAGAUUGUCAUUUUGUGCGUGAUUUAUUGGCUGGUGGGCUCAUUACCCUGUCCCAUGUUUCUACCUCUCGUCAGCUGGCUGAUCUUCUCACAAAACCACUCCCUGGCACCAUUCUACAUCCUCUGUUGUCCAAGUUGAAGGUGGUUUCCCCCUCCAACUUGAGGGGGGGG